CCCUUUAGACGGGGACAACAUUCCGAAAGGGGUGCUAAUACCGGAUGUGACGCUCCUAUCGCAUGACGGGAGCGUGAAAGAUGGCCUCUACAUGUAAGCUAUCGCUAAAGGAUGGGCCUGCGUCUGAUUAGCUAGUUGGUAGUGUAACGGACAACCAAGGCGAUGAUCAGUAGCCGGUCUGAGAGGAUGAACGGCCACAUUGGGACUGAGACACGGCCCAG
RNAcentral lists this ribosomal RNA (221 nucleotides) under uncultured bacterium. Its description in RNAcentral is "partial 16S ribosomal RNA". It matches the Rfam family "Bacterial small subunit ribosomal RNA", at positions 129 to 334 of the family's 1533-position model. The record is from RNAcentral.